Molecule: ribosomal RNA, 658 nt
Filed under: uncultured bacterium
Lineage: Bacteria
Description: bacterial SSU rRNA
Rfam family: Bacterial small subunit ribosomal RNA
Source: RNAcentral
AACGAUAGCUAAUACCGCAUAACAAUGAAUGACACAUGUCAUUUAUUUGAAAGGGGCAAUUGCUCCACUACAAGAUGGACUGCGUUGUAUUAGCUAGUAGGUGAGGUAACGGCUCACCUAGGCGACGAUACAUAGCCGACCUGAGAGGGUGAUCGGCCACACUGGGACUGAGACACGGCCCAGACUCUACGGGAGGCAGCAGUAGGGAAUCUUCGGCAAUGGGGGCAACCCUGACCGAGCAACGUCGCGUGAGUGAAGAAGGUUUUCGGAUCGUAAAGCUCUGUUGUAAGUCAAGAACGAGUGUGAGAGUGGAAAGUUCACACUGUGACGGUAGCUACCAGAAAGGGACGGCUAACUACGUGCCAGCAGCCGCGGUAAUACGUAGGUCCCGCCCCCCUGUCCGGAUUUAUUGGGCGUAAAGCGAGCGCAGGCGGUUUGAUAAGUCUGAGGUUAAAGGCUGUGGCUCAACCAUAGUUCGCUUUGGAAACUGUCAAACUUGAGUGCAGAAGGGGAGAGUGGAAUUCCAUGUGUAGCGGUGAAAUGCGUAGAUAUAUGGAGGAACACCGGUGGCGAAAGCGGCUCUCUGGUCUGUAACUGACGCUGAGGCUCGAAAGCGUGGGUAGCAAACAGGAUUAGAUACCCUGGUAGUCCACGCUGU